This is a long non-coding RNA of Eleginops maclovinus (Patagonian blennie), 1280 nucleotides long. RefSeq lists it as uncharacterized. NCBI's taxonomy places the organism in Eukaryota, Metazoa, Chordata, Actinopteri, Perciformes, Eleginopidae. The record is from RefSeq and is a predicted model, not a curated record. The transcript is spliced from 3 exons.
GAAGAAAGGUUCCGACCAGUAACGCUGCUACUUGGCUUGACAUAAAACAGUGACAACGUUCAACAUAUUGUAUGAAAUCGACAACAUAUUAUUAUCCCAAGUUGGUGAAGCAGGUACAAUGAAUCGACAGCGAGCUUACUUACUUACAGGGUUUCUGUGUUUGGAGUCCGAAGAUAUCGAUGUUGCUAGUCGUGAAGUCCUACAAACGGGCAGGAGCAGGCAGCAGGAAUUGGUAAACUUGGUCCUGCAUGUAGCUACCCUGCUAUGGCCUGGCUCCAUGUGUGUACACUUCCAGAUCUGCACACUAGAUGGCGCACAUGUCUCAGUGGUGAAACAGAUUACCGACUUGUAAUGACACAUACAGGCAGGCUGGGUAAAAUCUGACGAUCCACGGCAGAGUUUCUGGAGGUACAGAUGCUGGAUAUUGAGGCUGGGUGCCUGGAGGGCUCGGACGAUGCUGCUCAUAAUAGAGAAAAAAAGGUACAUCACUCCUGUGACUGUUCCCAUCCAAACCUUACAGAGGUCAUCAUCUCUGCUGAGAAACAAUAAAGGAAGAGAAAAAUGGGAUAAAAUGUGGAUACAAUCAGGACAGGAGAGAUAUAAAAGAGAAUGCACUUCUUAUAUGCCUAUCUAAAAGGUGCAUGCUCAGUAAUGAUGUUUCUCAAAGUGACCAUACAAAGAGGGAAAAUGACAGCGAGACUAAAGUACAUUUGCCAGAAGAUCUGUCAUUCCCCUCCUUAAAUACAUGUUGUUUCCUGUUUACACAGGAAGUAACCAGAUUCCCUGUAGUCAAGUGUCUACUGAAGUGUUCCAACCUGAAUGACAUUGAGCUCUUCGACAGGCUGAUGCAAAGGGCCGACUAAAAGCUAAUCAGGCUGUAAUUCAAGAUUCGCCCGGCCACUUACAAUCAAUACUCGCACAAUCCCAAUUAAAGCUUGCCGGGUCAAUGGAGGGCCACCAAUUCCUUUACAAGUUAAAUGCAAUACUUAAAUCUAAAGCAAUCUCAGUGUGGCCUUCGAUGGUUUAAUGGCUUGUGCCGACAGGAGUGUCCAGUUAAAAGUGCAAGAGGGAUACAGGGUGGACAGGUUAUAGUGAUUAAUACUUCCUUACCCCACAAAUGCUUGCACACUUUUUAGGUAUCAUAUUAAAUGCAGUAUCUCUACUUGUAAUUCAGUAUUUUUACAGAAGAGUUACAUUUUCAUUCUUUUCUCCAAAAAUUUGACGUAUGUCUGUUGACAUCCUGAAACUGUGUUAAAAUGUGUUAUAUUCAACCAGAACAA